Molecule: long non-coding RNA, 473 nt
Filed under: Manacus vitellinus (golden-collared manakin)
Lineage: Eukaryota; Metazoa; Chordata; Aves; Passeriformes; Pipridae
Description: lncRNA (ENSMVIG00005010109.1)
Source: RNAcentral
CUGUCUGAAAAGACUAUCUUUUUUGACUCUCUCAUCUCUGGAUUGCAGAUCUCUAUGGAUGGUGAAACAUUUGAGCUACAGAAGCUUUUAAAGUGUAUGAAGAAACGAUUAAGUACAUUAUGAAAGCAUUGAGGCCAAAGGAUCUGAGCCAGCUCUUUGCAUACCCAGCUCUAAUGGACCUGCUAUUUACCCAGAAUUGAAUGGAGCUGCUGUGCAAGGCCUGAACUGCAGAGGGUGGGAGCAGGAGCAUCCUCUGACAGCCCCAGGAACCCCCCCCCCUCCUGCCCUGCCAUCACCCCCUGCACACGCAGGGUUUGACUCUCCUGGGCAGUUUUGGCUGUAAGAAGAGAAGUUUCUGUCAGCCCUGCUGGCUGUGACAGGACCAGGGAGGAGCUGCACGGGCGUGUCCAGGAAGGUAAUUUUUCAGUGUGAACACUUUGUCAUUGGCUCGCUGCUUUUUGUCUUCCCACAGA